GUCUGUAUGAAGUUAUAUAGAGUCUAGCCUGCCCAAUGAAAUUAUUUAAAAGGCCGCAGUAAUUUGACUGUGCAAAGGUAGCAUAAUAAUUAGUUUUUUAAUUGAAGGCUUGUAUGAAUGGUUGGACAAAGAAAACCCUGUCUUUUAUAUUAUUUUUGAAUUUUACAUUUAAGUGAAAAGGCUUAAAUAAAUUUAAGGGACGAUAAGACCCUAUAAAUCUUUACGUUGAAUUAAAUUUUUUUAUAAUUUCAUAAAAUUUAGUAAUGUUAUGUUGGGGCAACAUAGAUAUAAAAAAUAACUGUUAAACAAAUUAUACAUUUAUUUAUGAAUAGAUAAAAGAUCCUUAAAAAGAUUAAAAGUUUAAGUUACUUUAGGGAUAACAGCGUUAUUUUUUUUGAGAGUUCCCAUUAAAAAAAAAGUUUGCGACCUCGAUGUUGAAUUAAAAAUUCUUUGUGGUGUAGCAGCUGCAAUAGAAAGUCUGUUCGACUUUUAAAAUUUU
This 499-nucleotide ribosomal RNA is filed under the name Leiogalathea camilla. RNAcentral describes it as "partial 16S large subunit ribosomal RNA". It matches the Rfam family "Bacterial large subunit ribosomal RNA", at positions 1831 to 2597 of the family's 2925-position model. Lineage: Eukaryota; Metazoa; Arthropoda; Malacostraca; Decapoda; Munidopsidae. The record is from RNAcentral.